RNAcentral lists this ribosomal RNA (403 nucleotides) under uncultured bacterium. RNAcentral describes it as "bacterial SSU rRNA". It matches the Rfam family "Bacterial small subunit ribosomal RNA", at positions 355 to 774 of the family's 1533-position model. The record is from RNAcentral.
UGGGGGAUAUUGCACAAUGGGGGAAACCCUGAUGCAGCGACGCCGCGUGGAGGAAGAAGGUUUUCGGAUUGUAAACUCCUGUCGUUAGGGACGAAAUCUGACGGUACCUAACAAGAAAGCACCGGCUAACUACGUGCCAGCAGCCGCGGUAAAACGUAGGGUGCAAGCGUUGUCCGGAAUUACUGGGUGUAAAGGGAGCGCAGGCGGACCGGCAAGUUGGAAGUGAAAACCAUGGGCUCAACCCAUGAAUUGCUUUCAAAACUGCUGGCCUUGAGUAGUGCAGAGGUAGGUGGAAUUCCCGGUGUAGCGGUGGAAUGCGUAGAUAUCGGGAGGAACACCAGUGGCGAAGGCGACCUACUGGGCACCAACUGACGCUGAGGCUCGAAAGCAUGGGUAGCAAACA